GUGAGGAAUAUUGGUCAAUGGGCGGGAGCCUGAACCAGCCAAGUCGCGUGAAGGAAGAAGGAUCUAUGGUUCGUAAACUUCUUUUGCAGGGGAAUAAAGUGCAGGACGUGUCCUGUUUUGUAUGUACCCUGAGAAUAAGGAUCGGCUAACUCCGUGCCAGCAGCCGCGGUAAUACGGAGGAUCCGAGCGUUAUCCGGAUUUAUUGGGUUUAAAGGGUGCGUAGGUGGUUUGAUAAGUCAGGGGUGAAAGUUUGCAGCUUAACUGUAAAAAUGCCGUUGAAACUGUCGGACUUGAGUGUAAAUGAGGUAGGCGGAAUGCGUGGUGUAGCGGUGAAAUGCAUAGAUAUCACGCAGAACUCCGAUUGCGAAGGCAGCUUACUAAGCUACAACUGACACUGAAGCACGAAAGCGUGGGGAUCAAACAGGAUUAGAAACCCUUGUAGUCC
This 445-nucleotide ribosomal RNA is filed under the name uncultured bacterium. RNAcentral describes it as "partial 16S ribosomal RNA". It matches the Rfam family "Bacterial small subunit ribosomal RNA", at positions 354 to 796 of the family's 1533-position model. The record is from RNAcentral.